This 445-nucleotide ribosomal RNA is filed under the name uncultured bacterium. Its description in RNAcentral is "partial 16S ribosomal RNA". It matches the Rfam family "Bacterial small subunit ribosomal RNA", at positions 354 to 796 of the family's 1533-position model. The record is from RNAcentral.
GUGAGGAAUAUUGGACAAUGGGCGCAAGCCUGAUCCAGCCAUGCCGCGUGCAGGAAGACGCAUCUAUGGUGUGUAAACUGCUUUUGUACGGGAAGAAACACUCCCUCGUGAGGGAGCUUGACGGUACCGUAAGAAUAAGGAUCGGCUAACUCCGUGCCAGCAGCCGCGGUAAUACGGAGGAUCCAAGCGUUAUCCGGAAUCAUUGGGUUUAAAGGGUCCGUAGGCGGUUUAAUAAGUCAGUGGUGAAAGCCCAUCGCUCAACGAUGGAACGGCCAUUGAUACUGUUAGACUUGAAUUACAAGGAAGUAACUAGAAUAUGUAGUGUAGCGGUGAAAUGCUUAGAUAUUACAUGGAAUACCAAUUGCGAAGGCAGGUUACUACUUGUGGAUUGACGCUGAUGGAUGAAAGCGUGGGGAGCGAACAGGAUUAGAAACCCUUGUAGUCC